UUAAAUUGAAGAGUUUGAUCAUGGCUCAGAUUGAACGCUGGCGGCAGGCCUAACACAUGCAAGUCGAACGGUAACAGAAAGCAGCUUGCUGCUUUGCUGACGAGUGGCGGACGGGUGAGUAAU
RNAcentral lists this ribosomal RNA (123 nucleotides) under Escherichia coli. RNAcentral's name for it is "partial 16S ribosomal RNA". It matches the Rfam family "Bacterial small subunit ribosomal RNA", at positions 1 to 114 of the family's 1533-position model. The record is from RNAcentral. RNAcentral also lists the same sequence under 1 other name. Lineage: Bacteria; Pseudomonadati; Pseudomonadota; Gammaproteobacteria; Enterobacterales; Enterobacteriaceae.